Molecule: long non-coding RNA, 11729 nt
Filed under: Setaria italica (foxtail millet)
Lineage: Eukaryota; Viridiplantae; Streptophyta; Magnoliopsida; Poales; Poaceae
Description: long non-coding RNA (SITA_LNC001525)
Source: RNAcentral
GGUGGCGGCGUCCGGCAGCCCGUGGUACGGCCCCGACCGCGUCAAGUACCUCGGCCCCUUCUCCGGCGAGCCCCCGAGCUACCUGACCGGCGAGUUCCCCGGCGACUACGGCUGGGACACCGCUGGGCUGUCCGCUGACCCCGAGACCUUCGCCAAGAACCGCGAGUUGGAGGUCAUCCACUCCCGCUGGGCCAUGCUCGGCGCGCUCGGCUGCGUCUUCCCCGAGCUGCUCGCCCGCAACGGCGUCAAGUUCGGCGAGGCCGUCUGGUUCAAGGCCGGCUCCCAGAUCUUUAGCGAGGGCGGCCUCGACUACCUCGGCAACCCCAGCCUUAUCCAUGCGCAGAGCAUCCUCGCCAUCUGGGCCUGCCAGGUCGUGCUCAUGGGCGCCGUCGAGGGCUACCGCAUUGCCGGCGGCCCACUCGGCGAGGUCGUCGACCCGCUCUACCCCGGCGGCAGCUUCGACCCCCUCGGCCUGGCCGACGACCCUGAGGCCUUCGCCGAGCUCAAGGUCAAGGAGCUCAAGAAUGGCCGCCUCGCCAUGUUCUCCAUGUUCGGAUUCUUCGUCCAGGCCAUCGUCACCGGCAAGGGCCCGCUCGAGAACCUGGCCGACCACCUCGCCGACCCAGUCAACAACAACGCCUGGGCCUACGCCACCAACUUCGUCCCCGGCAACUAAGCUCGCCAUUCGCCUCUGCAACUCCAUUGUCUUCCGGCCGGGAGGGGCGUACGUGGAUUGGUUGAUGCUGCAAGCGAGCUGCCGCAUGCGUGUCUUGUUUCACGUUGCAUUUCAGGGGCAAGUCGAGAUGAUGAGUCGGCGUUGUACACUAAGAUGAUGUUUGUGCAAUAGUAGUGGUUUUGUUCCCUGGUGGUUAACCUUUGAUUUGUCUGAUUAAGGGCAUCUCUUAAUUUGUUACUGUCUACAACUCCUUUUAGAUCCUUGAGCUAAAGUUUAUUCCUUAUCGUAUCGAAUCUUCGGAUGCUAAUUAAGAUGACUAAAUAUGAGCUAAUUAUAAAACUAAUUACACAUAUGGAGGCUAAUUCGCGAGACGAAUCUAUUAAAUCUAACUAUAUUCGUCUCGCGAAUUAACCUGUGCAAUUAAUUUUUUAAUUAAUCUAUAUUUAGACGAUGUGAUAUAGAUCACCGCGGAACCAAACGGGAGAUUAAACGUAUAAAUAUAUAUAUAUCGCAGACCUCGGCAUGUUUCAUCCUGUGAUACAUGCCACGUGUCCACUAGACAGUGCUGGUGCCGGAAGAAAAAAAGAGGAUCGACGGUGACUGCACUUUUACCGUAUCAGCUACUGACAUGUGUACCGUGUUCUUUUUUUUACCGUCCAUGGGCCGUUGUACUCUGGUUUCCUUAAGCCGUUUCGUACGUUAGGCUUCGGCCUACGUGUGCGUCGUCAGUGUGUGUCCAGUGUUGUGGCCUACUGUUUUGCCGCUUAGUUGCCUUCAAACGCUAUAUGUAAAUUAACAGUUGGUGUAUAUCUAAUCUGGACAAUUGUUGAGCUUGUUAUCUACAUAUUUUAGUAUGUUCUUGUAUUAACCCGUCUCUUGACACUUGAAAUAAUUCCAUUUUUCAUAUGUAUUGUAUUUUGGAGAACCUUCUAUUUUUUGCAGGAAAUUGGACUGUAUCGAGGUAUAAUUGGACAAGGUUCUGGACAAGCAACAACAUAGAGAAAGACGAAGGCCAACGGGUCCAAAAAGACCUAGGCCAGGCUGAUCGGCCUAGAGUCCUCAGGGCCCCGAUCAUGCUCGUUCUUGGCGAGCACUCCUAGGCCGAUCGGCCUGAGGUGUUCCUUCACCCGAUUACCUUCCAAUUUCUGCCACGAGCUCUUCAAACUAUGAAUACCCCAAAAAUUCAGAGAGCCCCGGCAUUCAUCCGCCAGAACUCGACGAAACCAAAGGUAUACACCAAAGGGAGCUGAGGCCCACUGCAAGUCUUCGGAGUUGUCUUGGAGAUGGCUUAGGCCGACCCUAGCCACCAUGGCCUCCCUGCACGAUUGUGCCAUGGUGAAGUUCAGGAGAGCCAGUAGUAGAUCGUCGAUGGUAUGUACUCAGAGGUGAUGAUCUAAAUACAUCUAUUAUAUGAGCAACGUUCUUCAUGUCAUCUGAUCUAUUAGCGACUUGUUGUCUCCUUCUAUGCUUUCUACUUAUCAUGAAUAUGCUUGUCCCUUAGUCUAAUGCUAGUUUAGACUACAUAGCAUGCUUUAUGUAAUCUUGGUGAUUAGAUCUAGUAUGUCGAUCCUUCAUGAUAGCUAGACAUGUUCACCUGUGUUCGUACCCUUAAAUUGCCUGCGCCGAUAGGGGGAUCGUGACGGGGUCUGCUUCCGUGUAGGGUGGGGGUUUUCGGGAUGUUGACCGGAGGUAGUAGUAGUUUAAAGAUUGCUUUGGAUGAGAUACAUGAUGUGCUUGCUUGUUGGCUAGAACUACAACUAGAAGAUGAUAGGCUCUUUCUACCCUUGGUGGUGUUAUAUCAUAUAUAUCUGUGGAUGUGAUCUACACUUAUUCAUGCCAUUGAUCUUUACAACAAAUUUGCCUUCAUAUGCAAUCAAUGCUUCGUGUUAGAACUAAUCCGUUAGAUUAGAUGGAAAUCCAGAGUCAGUUUGCUGCCGAUCCACGGAUUGAUAAAUCUUGGAUAUAAUACUUUAAGAGAAAAGCUAUGAUGAUCCGUUCGUUUACGGUUUACGACUUAACGUGUUAACUACCGUCAACAACAAUGUAUGUUUGUAUGGAUACACCCGGUACCAUUUUUUACAUGUCAAACAUAUUAUGCAGUUGCAAAACAAAUGGUUUAUUGUGGCUCCUGUUCAACUUCCGUGGCUCGAUAGAGAAACACUUAUUCAUAUCGGCUCAUCUGUGCCCGACAUAAAUGAGCCGGCAUGGAUAAGUCAUCCAUAUCAGGUUGAAAAUGAGCCAGCGCAAACAUUCAAUUAUCCCUGGCUCUAUUAUUCAUGCUGCUGUAAUUUUGAGCUGGCACGAAUAAUCCAUUUUUCAUGCUAGCUCGAAAUUGCAUCGGCACAAAAAAAAAACUCCUAUCUAUGGAAUUCGAAUUUUAGCUUAUAUUCAAAUAAUUCGUAACUUGUGCGUUCAAACUCGGAUGGAGACAAAUUUUAUAUCAAAAUUGUACAGUUUCACCAGAUCUACAACUUAGUUAAAUAGUUUUUUAUUUGAAGUCAUUUAGAUGCUCAAAUUGUUGAUCACAAUACUAGACAACAAGGGUAAAAAAGAAUAAAACUUCCCUUUGUGUGCAUAUAUGUGGUAUAUGUGUGAUGGUAAUGAGGUAUCGUGCGAGGGGGAGGUUGUGAAUUCGAAGGCUAGACACCUCACACAUGUGACUUCUGACUAUAGAGUGGCCUCCAUGCCUAGAAAAAAAAUAUUUUGCUAUAAGUUUUCAUUUUUACUAAUUGUGUUGGCGCAAUUUUCCACCAGUAGGUACAAUCUGUUAUUCGUGCCGGCGGAAUUGUCCACGGUACGAAUAAUUCGUUAUUCGUGCCAGUCGGCACGAAAGCUGUUCAUGUUCGCAUCGGCUUCGUGGUGCCGGUUUGUUUAAUUGCAUGAAUGAGGUUUUCGUGCCAGAUGAGAUGAGGUGCUCUGCAGCAGUGGAGGGCCACAAAUUUACAUGUUACAUGUAUAGUUCCAUUCGUGUGACGUAGUGAACUAAUGAUCGGGCCACACAUUUACCAUAGAGACUAGACUAUUCGUUCUGAGCCAUAAAAAAGUUCACAAUUCCUUAUGUGCCAUUAAAAAUGUUUUGUUGCCUUUCCAAUCAUCGUAUCAAAUUUUUGAAUACCUCAGUGCCACUGCCGUCCAUUACCGUCAGCUCUGUUGCCGUGAACCCCUAAUUACAUGUCAGUUCUUUUCACAAAUGGCCAUUUUGCACUUCCAUCGUUUCAUUUCAGUUCACCGGUCAUUAUUCAGUCAAUCAGUAUGCCGCUUCGUCGGAAGAAAAUUAGGUGCACACCGGAUGCAAAACGCAUCCGGUACAUACCCGUGUGCUCGGCCGACGCGUGGAGGGCGCCCCAAAUCCGACGGAAGCAAUCGUUGGGUCCAGCGGCUCGUCGCGGCGCGGCUCGGCUGCAUGGCUCGAUAACGCACGGCUGCAUGGCUCGAUAACGCACGGCUGCAUGGCUCGGAAGGGAAGGAAUAGGCGGUGCCGUACGUUGAGGUCCUUCGGGUCUCCAGCUUCCGGCAGCCGGCCGUACGUUGCCUUCGGUGGAUACCUCCUGCACACAUACGAGUAGAGCACGACGACGAACAACGCCAUGAGUGUCAAGCACCACCCGAACUACACGUUGAUGACGGCCUUAGUGUGGUGCUCGCUUUCGUCGCUGUGGCAGCGGAUAGAGAGGCCGCCAUCCUUGAGUGAGUAGCCAUUGGCGAUGAGCCCCGGGAGCCACAUGACGCCGAUGUCCAUGAACCACACCCCCUGGAACGUGAGUGCCACCGACCGGAUCAGGCUCACCGUGAAGCUUUGCGGGAAGCUGGCGUCGAGGAGCGCGGUGGCGAGGCGGCGGCGACGACGGCCUGCAGGAACCAGUGGAACUGGCCCUUGACGCCGGCGUGGUCGGAGGAGUGGACGUGGAGCAUGAAGAGCUCCUGCGCGUAGACGAGCGCCAUGAGGAGCGUGCAGAGCGUGCGGCGGCCCCGCAGCCACCAGGAGCGGUCGAGGUACGCGGCGGCACCGGUGUAGAGGACGAGCGCGGUGUAGAUGACGGUCCGCCGGCCAGAUGGAGAAGGUGGCGGCGGCCCAUAUGGAGGAGGCGGCGGCGGCAAGUGCGUCGCCAGGAGAUCACGAGGCGGCGGCUCGCGUUCCCCAAACCCUCACCCAACUAUUCCUUCCCUGCCGAGCCAUGCAGCCGUGCGUUGUCGAGCCAUGCAGCCGAGCCGCGACGAGCUGCUGGACCCAGCGAUUGCUUCCGUCGCAUUUGGGGCGCCCUCCACGCGUCGGCCGAGCGCAUGGGUAUGCACCGGAUGCGUUGUGCAUCCGGUGUGCACCUAAUUUUCUUCCCGCUUCGUCUUGCUUUGCUUGAUGCCCCUCUUACAGCUUUGGGCCCAUCUGCAAGGCUCCAAGCCAACAAAUGGCAUCACGUUGUCGCGCCUGGCCACCGAGUUGACCUCCAGUCCAGCGACCAGCAUCCACACCAACCGCGAGACGGCGCAUCCUACAGUGACAUGCGCGGAUAAGUUAGCGGACACGGCAAUCUCUGCUAUGUAGCAGAACGAGGCCAUGCUGCGGUCUUGCGGCGGGGACCGAGCACCGUGCACCGGUGUGGCGGUGCCAAGCCCGGCUCCUUGCCGCGACUGGCGUCGAGGUAGUCCUUAACGCAGCCGAGCGCGUCCUCCUGGAAAGCCUCGACCUUGAGCUGCUGCCCCUCAUCACACAGUCGCUGGCGCGGUCAGGUUCUGGAGGCAAAGGGCUACACAGCUCCACGCGCGCAGGGUGCCGACUACCGAGGGAGACCUGCUGCAGCCUGCAGGCAACAAGUAGUGCCGCCACCCCGCCGCGCGUGGGCAAGGCUGCCGCGGCGUCCCACGACGCGACCGUGAGCGGGAGCAGCGCAGGCAGCUCGGCACCGCCGGAUCCAGCACGCUGCAGUGCAGAGGUGGGGCACAACGACGGCGCUUGGCACCCUGUGUACGACCUGUGGCGCAAGAAGACCUGGAGGACGCCGCCGCGGCGGGCACCGCCUCCUGUAGGCGGAGGCACUCCGCGAGGCCGGCCGGGGUCCCCGGACUCCGGAGGCUCGAGCCCAAGAUGAAGAAGAGUUCAGACCGGAGCGAUGAGCAGCGUCAGCUAGACGAAAUCGAUGAAAUCGUCGUGCGAGACUGAGAGAGGAGUAGGGGAAUAGAAGGGCAAGAUGGACAUUUUGGCUCGCCGUGAGCUCCCGUUCCCACUGAACUGGACGGCAGUGGCACUGAGGUCUAAACAAAAUUGAACUGAUGUCACGAAGGGCGUGAGAACUUGGUGCGUAAAGAAUUGCCUCUUUACCAUAUACCUUCACCUGCAUAGUGUAAUAUAAUGAACUAAUGAUCAUUUCAUUUGAUCUGCACUCUGCACUGUAGAAGCUGUUGUUUUUAGUCUAUUGUUAUUAAACCUAUAAGAGAGUCUUUCACUAUGCCAAUUUUCAAAUGUCCUAAUUAGAUAAUUGCAGAGACCGAACUACCGCCGUGCCACAUUUUCGCACUAUUCAUGCUAUUGCUGGCAAUCUUUUCAUUCAGUUCAAGCCUGCCAAAAAUGCAAACAUAUGAGCAGAGAGAGACUUGCCGCCCUUUUAAUGCAGUAUAGAGGGAAGUUUAGGCUAGAAAUUUAGAACAAAUACUUGACUACUAAUGUAGCACCAACAACAGGGAUACAAGCCUAUAGCGGGCGCGGCGGAGCGCGCCGCUCUUCCAUGAGAACAGGACAUCAGUAGUUCUACCAAAUUCUUAGCGUCUACCUAUUUGGCUAUUUGAGCACAGUUUAUCUCGUAUUCACCAAAUUGAUUUUGCGACUUUGCACACUCGCUCGCACACGCAGGCGCAGCAGCGAGCAAGCCAGCUAGCUAGUCGAGGCGGAAGAAACUGAGCCAUAGCAGCAGCAGCAGCAGCGGUGGACUCCUACGUAACUUACGGAAGCUGGUUAAGGCGUACUCCUCCGUGUAGAAAAAGUAAGUCGUUUUGGACAGCGAUAUGGUCUUCAAAGUAUUACUUUGACUGCUUAUUUUUAUAAAAAUAUUUAUCAAAAAGUGAUAUAUGUAUAUUUUUAUGAAAGUAUUUUUCAAGACAAAUAUAUUUAUAUGGCUUUCACAUUUCCAAACUCAACAACUUAAAAGUUAUUCAUGAUUUAUAUUCCUAAUGUUUGAUCCAAACCUUGUCCAAAACGACUUUCUUUUCCUAUACGGAGGGAGUACAACUUUAAAGUCCGUUCGACCCAUCUAACGUAACCAUCGCAGCACAUCAAUCUUUCUUCAUAAAUAUUAUUCAACAUUUCCUUACACUUAUUCAACAAUCCGUAAGUCCUAUUUCAACAUUUCGAAUAUGCUAACUCAAUAUUGCACGGAGAUUAGAUAUUUAUUUUUGACUUGCUCCCCCACCUCACAUAGAUUUUUCCACGUGUGAUACACGCUUCAACAUUUUCUUACAACUGAUCAACAAUCUGCAAACCCUGAUACAUCAUUUCGAAUAUACUAAUUCAACAUGUCACGGGGUCAGAUAUUUAUUUAUAGUUGGCUUGGGAUGAGGUAUUUAUUUACGGUUGGAUUGCUCCGCCACCUUUUCUUAGCCAUACAUGUACUAUAACACGAAGCCAUGUAAAAAAAAUUGUGGAAGUUAUAUAUAGGUUUCCCGGCAGUAGUGGGCCUAGUGGCCCAUGAGAGACUGUCUUGGGCCGCUAGCGGCUCGGCCGCACGGCACGAGUUAGCCAUAGCUCUGUUCCACAUCUCCUUUUUCCUCUCAGCUGGAUCCUGUUCAUGCUGCUGAGCUUCCUCCUCCCCGGGACGUCCACACGGUUCCGGCAUCAGUGCUGGCAGACCGCCGCCGUGGCCUUCUUCUCGGCGGCCGUGAUCACGAGGCGGCAUCCGGUGGUCUGGUCCCCGGUGAUCCGCCGCUGGUCCGGCCAGCGGAACCAGAAGCCCAAGCCGCCGCGUCCCGUCGGCUAUUGAAGGUGAAGGCUGAAGGGGCGACGACUGACAAUGUUCGUGAAGGCGAUGGUGCUUGUCUGUUUGAUGAUGAGUUGACGAUCAAGUUCGUGAAGUAGUGAUGCUAUUUGUGAAAGUUGUUUUCCUGGAUGCUAACUAUUGGAUGAUUCGGUGAUCCGUGUAAUUGUUUCGUUUAAAGACAUCAGUACCACUUGUUGAUCACCAUGCUGUUGGAGUUCUUGGAGCUGUCCCCUGACUGCUCUGUUUCAGUGUUCCUUUGUGCAAAAUACGCAGGCCUGUUUGGGGCAACAAGUGACUUUCUUCCGUUCUCGAAGAUACGCAGGCCUGUUUGGGGCUACAAGACUUUUUUCCGUUCUCCAAGAUACGCAGGCCUGUUUGGGGCAUCUUUUCAAUAUGAUGCAACAGAUUUUAGUGAAACAAUAAUCUGAGCAAGCUAAUUGAACAUAACUUACUACGUUCCGACAACUCGCUUAGUAUUUGCUUGCUCUUAUUGUCGCCAAAGAUUCUUGCCAUGCCAAAAUCUGAUAUCUUUGGGUUCAUCGCUGCACCCAACAAAAUGUUGCUCGCCUGUGGAUGAUUGUCAGUCUUCUUAAUGGAGGCAAAGAAGACCUCGAGCAACCCCUUUGAUUAUCUUCAAACUCGUGGCCAAUCCAGGCAUCCAACGCUGAUUUUCUUGCACUAACUGCAAAAGAGCAACAUUUUCAUGAGCAAGAUGAACUGUUUUUCAGUGCUAAUUCAGCAGUUGUGUGAAGCUACUAGAACAUACUGAAAAGAGUAGCAUAUGCAAAUCUAAGCUAUGACUUACUUUGUAAACGUUGCUUAAACCUCCUUCCCCAAUCGUUGAUGCUUCAGAGACGUUAUCGGUUGCGACGAGUAUCUCAUUAUAUUUAACACAUGGGAGCGGAUGCAAUAUAUCAGGUGACCGUCUUCAGUUUUCUCAGUGGAUGCUUCUUAUUAUCGAAAAGUGUUCGAAAGAUCUGCCGCGAUACGUCAGGGGUGGGCACCAAAUGAUUUCCGUAUGAUACUUGGAGCUGUCCCGUCUCAGUUAUCGAUCAUUACCCAGCACACUUGGCUCCUGACGCGCGCAGUAGAGGCGAUGAGCAUCACCAGUUCACCAUCAUGCAUGGGUACGUUGCCCAGCUUGGCAAGACAGUGCAACUGCCACCGCCUGAGAAUGGCGUAAGGCCGGCGAAACGCGCCGGCUGGGAGAGCCUUCACCGGCCGCCGACGGUGUAUGGGGCGCCGCCGUAUGCCACGGUGGGUGGUAUGAUCGACGUUCCAUUUCGUUGUGCAGCUGUGCCAACACCUGGGAUCAACGCAACAGCGCACUAGUAGUGUAGUGACCGGGAAGAAAAUUCUAUGCGGUGGUGUCGCACCACGAUCCACCGGCGGUCACCGUCUACAAUGGCGCUGGCGCCCGACACCGUGCGUGGUUGCUACUCUCCGGCAGUCCGGCGCGCAUCGAUCGCCGGCCUUGUGCCGUUCUUGCAGACGGCCGCCACCGCCUUGCCUUGCCAAGCCUGCGAGACGUCCACCUACUACGUCCCUCCGCGACGAGCCGACGAGCCAGCCCAUCAUUUGCGGCAGCGCGCCUCCAGGACAGGUGCAUGCAUUUUAGUUGGAUCGAUCAGCCUCGUGCAAAAUUUUCAACAAAUUCCAACGACACGUCCAGCGCAAGAGGCUGUUCACUUGCACCAAAAGAAAGAGAGGGAAACAAAGAGGCUGUUCACUUGCUCUGCGAAAACAAUUGGGAGCUGUUCCUUACAUGAAUCCACCGCAUAACCGUCUCUGUCCAUCUCAGUAUCUUACUGAGAUGAUGGCAUAAAUUUAGCAAGUGUCGCGCCGCAGUAGACUAGAUACGUCAUCGAUUCAUCAUAAUAUGAGUAGCCUUGGAGUGGCAUAGAUAAGAACGACCAGAACUAGAACUGUCAGUCUCCCUUCUUAACGGUUCCUGUCAUGGUUCCGGCCGGUGCAAACCAAAUUCAAGUACGGUGUUUUUUUUUUAAAUGAACCAAGCUAAGUACGGUGUCUUGAACUUAUAGUUUACUUCCUAUGCCAAUUGAACUUUUGGACGUUACCUAGCCAACAGUGCAAUUGCAUCGACCUAAUCAUUUUUCUCGUGAGAAUACAUGCAGCAGGUUGUUGAUCCUCAGCAGUCCUUGUCAUAGUUUGGGUUCGUUUGGCAGGACUGUGGCUGAACGACUCUGGCUAUAGUUUCUUUGGUGGAGUAGCUUUUUUUCUCCGACUUAUCUGGUUGGAAAAACGUUUGGCAAAACGACUUCUCCUGGUAGUUUAAAAUUUCUUUUAUUCUCAUCUUAUCCAUUCAUCUCUGCCGGCCGGCCAUCCAUCUCUAUCUUUUAUACUCCCGCUGACCGUCUGUCCUCCUGCUGGCUGCCUCACCCCUGCUGCCAUCAAGCUCUCCCCCACCCGCGGCUCGUUCGCGCCGCGGUUGAGCUUCGCCCGCGACUCGUCCACGCCGCCGUCGAGUUCCCCACCCCGAUGCGCCUACGCGCGCCGGCCUCCUCCAUGCACCCACCAGCCAACUCGCCCCUGCCUCCAUGGUCAAACUAGGGAGUUUAACCCCGGGAGCAAGAUGGAGCCGUGGGGAGCCUAUUUUUUGGGCUCCGUCUCCAUCAAUCUGCUCCCAUCACCGUAUUUUGCGGAGCUGAUGGUGGAGCUAUUUCUUCCCCCACCCCUUGGCAAGGCUCGAAAAAAACCGGUGGUGAAGCUGGUUCGGAAGUUCUGCCAAAGGGGCCUUUAUUAGAUCUCCAGUUCUCCACCUCCACUCCAACGUGAAACCAGCACUACCACUUGAGCCUUUGAGAACGGAGAGAGAUCACAAAAAUGCUAAGCUGGCUGCCCACCUUGAUGGAUCGGCCGGCCUCAUCCUACGUCGCCGCCGUCCUCCUCUUCUUGCUUUUGCGGCCAUUAUUGUGUGCGUCCGACGACCGGCUUGUCCUCGGCAAGGCGCUCUCGCCUGGCACACCACUCGUCUCCGAUGGCGGCGCCUUCGCGUUGGGCUUCUUCUCCCCGCCCAACUCCGACUCAUCGUCACUGUACCUUGGCAUCUGGUACAACAACAUCCCAAAGCUCACCGUGGUGUGGGUGGCCGACCAGGCCGCCCCCAUCACCGGCGACCAUCUUUCAUCCACCCCACCGGGCACGCUCGCCCUGACCAAUGCCAGCAACCUGGUCUUGUCCGACGCCACCGGCCGAGUGCUCUGGACGACGAACGUCACCGCCGACGACGCGGUGGCCUCGCCGUCGUCGAGCUCGAGCCCUAUGGCCGUGCUUCAGAACACCGGCAACCUCGUCGUACGGUCCCCGAACGGCACCGCCUUGUGGCAGAGCUUCGAGCACCCCGGCGACGCCUACCUGCCCAACAUGAAGAUCGGGAUCGUCUACCGGACGCACUACGGCGUGCGCCUCGUCUCGUGGAAGGGCCCCGCGGACCCGUCGCCGGGGAGCUUCACCUUCGGCGCGGACCCGGACAGGCCCCUCGAGCUGGUCAUCUGGAACGGGACGCGCGUUCACUGGCGCAACUCGCCGUGGGAGGGCUACAUGGUGGACAGCAACUACCAGAAGGGCGGCGGCAGGUCCGCCAUCUACAGGGCGGUCUACAACAGCGACGAGGAGAUAUACGCCGCCUACACCCUCUCCGACGGCGCGCCGCCCAUGCAGUACCGGCUGAGCUACUCCGGCGACCUGGAGCUGCAGAGCUGGAGCAACGACUCGUCAGCGUGGGUCACGAUCAUUAGGUACCCUACCCGCGCCUGCAGCGCCUUCGGCUACUGCGGCGCUUUCGGCUACUGCGACAACAGCACGGACGCCGCCGUGCCGGCGUGCCGCUGCGUCGAAGGGUUCGAGCCGGCGAGCGGUGCCGGCUGGAGCCGCAGUGACUUCUCGCGCGGGUGCCGCCGGAAGGAGCCCGUGCGAUGCGCCGACGGCUUCGCGGCGGUGCCGAACAUGAAGCUGCCGUAUGGGUACACGCUGGUGGCGAACCGGAGCUUGGAGGAGUGCGCGGCGGGGUGCAGCCGCGACUGCUCCUGCGUCGCGUACGCGUAUGCGAACUUGAGCACCAGCGCCACCAA